This 153-nucleotide unclassified non-coding RNA is filed under the name Coniochaeta sp. RNAcentral's name for it is "partial internal transcribed spacer 2". RNAcentral also lists the same sequence under 1 other name. Lineage: Eukaryota; Fungi; Ascomycota; Sordariomycetes; Coniochaetales; Coniochaetaceae. The record is from RNAcentral.
CAACCCUCAAGCUCUGCUUGGUGUUGGGGCCCUACGGCUGCCGUAGGCCCUGAAAAGAAGUGGCGGGCUCGCUACAACUCCGAGCGUAGUAAUUCUUUAUCUCGCUAGGGAAGUGUAGUGUGCUCCUGCCGUUAAAGACCCCAUCUUUAACAA